This 251-nucleotide ribosomal RNA is filed under the name uncultured Pseudomonadota bacterium. RNAcentral describes it as "uncultured proteobacterium partial 16S ribosomal RNA". It matches the Rfam family "Bacterial small subunit ribosomal RNA", at positions 85 to 339 of the family's 1533-position model. Lineage: Bacteria; Pseudomonadati; Pseudomonadota. The record is from RNAcentral.
CUGGCGGCGAGCGGCGAACGGGUGAGUAAUGCUUCGGAAUCUGCCCAGUAGUGGGGAACAACCAGUCGAAAGACUGGCUAAUACCGCAUACGACCUAAGGGUGAAAGCAGGGGAUCGUAAGACCUUGCGCUAUUGGAUGAGCCGAAGUCGGAUUAGCUAGUUGGUGAGGUAACGGCUCACCAAGGCGACGAUCCGUAGCUGGUCUGAGAGGACGACCAGCCACACUGGGACUGAGACACGGCCCAGACUCC